CAGUCGCCGCGGGAAUACGUAGGGUGCAAGCGUUAAUCGGAAUUACUGGGCGUAAAGCGUGCGCAGGUGGCUAUGCAAGACAGAUGUGAAAUCCCCGGGCUCAACCUGGGAACUGCAUUUGUGACUGCAUGGCUAGAGUACGGUAGAGGGGGAUGGAAUUCCGCGUGUAGCAGUGAAAUGCGUAGAUAUGCGGAGGAACACCGAUGGCGAAGGCAAUCCCCUGGACCUGUACUGACGCUCAUGCACGAAAGCGUGGGGAGCAAACAGGAUUAGAUACCCGAGUAGUCCCUGUCUCUUAUAA
Molecule: ribosomal RNA, 301 nt
Filed under: uncultured bacterium
Lineage: Bacteria
Description: partial 16S ribosomal RNA
Rfam family: Bacterial small subunit ribosomal RNA
Source: RNAcentral